GGAGUUAUAGAACUCCGGUUAUAACAUUUUUCGUCGAAAAAACCUAAAUAUUUAAAUAGUCAUAACUUGCUCAUUUUAAGUCGGAAUGAGCUCAUUUUUGGACAGUAGGUACUUUAUACCAUAUAUUUUCAUGUCCCAAAAGGCCGAAAUUUUUGUCACAAACUAAGUGGCCGAAAAUGCCCUUUUAAAUUUAUGGGCAGUAGCUUUUUAGUAUAUUUCAGUUUUGACUCCUUUGCUAAAAUCAGUUCACACGAAAAUCUACAACACCUUUUCCAGUGAUUCCACUUGGAAAAGUUAGAAAACUCAUAGAUCUAACUCUAGAACUUGACAACACUCAAAAAUUCAAAAUAUAAUAGGAGAUAUGGUCAAUUGAAUUUCAUGUUCCAUUUUCACCAAAAUCUGAUUUUCAACCCUUAGUGAUUUCUAAGAAACUUUCAUAUUUUCACAUAAUAACCAACAUAACUCAUCAUAACACUUACUAAUACUAUAUAUACCCAUGAUUUUCAUCAGUCCAAUGCUUUUAUUAUGACUUUCAUCAUAAUCAACAGUCCAAUGCUUAUAUUAUGACUUUUCAGAAUUUUUGAGGGUCAAAAAAGUUACGAAACUGCAAAUGGAUUUUCACCCGCCAUGCGGUAAUCCAUGUAGACAGAUCAUUUCCACAAUUUAAUAAGGAAUGAAAUACAAAGGAUUAUUCACCAUGCAUGUGGUAAUCCACAUAGACAGGUUAUUCCAACAGAAUAAUAAAGAAUGGAAUAACAGAAGGAUUCACCAUGCAUGCGAUAGAUUGCACAGACAGGUUAUUCCCAACAGAAUAAUAAAUAAUGGAACCAGGUCAUGCAUAAACGCACAGACAGGAUAUUCUGACAGAAUAAUAAAGAAUGGAACCAGGUCAUGCGUAAACGCACAGACAUGAUAUUCCAAUAGAAUAAUAAAGAAUGGAAUAAUAGAAGAAUUUCACCAUGUAUGCUGCACUUCGCAUAUACAGGUUAUUCCAAUAGAAUAAUAAGGAAUGGAAUAAUAGAAGAAUUUCACCAAGUAUAGGGUAGUCCAUGUAUACAGGUUAUUCCAACAAAAUAAUAAAGAAUGAAAUAACAGAAGUUCUCUUCAUGAAUACGAAAGAAAUAAUACCCCUUACGAGUACAACAAAUAAUAUCCCUUACGAGUACAACAAAUAAUAUCCCUUACCUUAGAAGAAACUGGAUAUAGGAGUAGUGAAGUAGCAGAAUACUUUUCUUCUUUCUCUCUAUAGUUUCUCUCUCUAGAGUUUCAGUGAAUUCGUAAGAAAUAAUGAAGGAAUGAGCUUCUAUUUAUAGGAGAAUGGACUGAAUAGUAACUAAUUCAUGAACGGUCCAGAUUGAUUUACUUUUAAACGGACGGUCCAUAUUGAUUUACUAUGCAGUAUUAAUAAAAUAUUCUAAUAAAACAAAAUCUUUUAAAUAAAAUAUAAUAUAUUCUAUUUAUAAUCUAAUAAAACGAAUAACUUUAUAAAAGUAUUCUGUUUUAUAUAAAAAGAUUUUACUAUGCAAACACUAUGCAGGCACUAUGCAAACACUAUGCAUAAUAAAAUAUAAUAUAUUCUAAUUAUUGUCUAAUAAAACAAAUAACUUUAUAAAAGUAUUCUGUUUUAUAUAAAAAGAUUUUACUAUGCAAAACACUAUGCAUAAUAGAAUAUAAUAUAUUCUAUUUAUAGUCUAAUAAAACGAAUAACUUUAUAAAAGUAUUCUGUUUUAUAUAAAAAGAUUUUACUAUGCAAACACUAUGCAGGCACUAUGCAAACACUAUGCAUAAUAAAAUAUAAUAUAUUCUAAUUAUUGUCUAAUAAAACAAAUAACUUUAUAAAAGUAUUCUGUUUUAUAUAAAAAGUUUUUCUGUUUUAUUAUAUUAAUAAUACUAAUAAAACAAAACUCAUUAUUAUUAUUAUAAUUCAUACAAUUAAUCGACCAGGUCGUUCCCAGGAAAGAUGGGGCUUUCUAAUAAAGAUUUCUCCCUAUUGGCGCGCAAUUAGGUGACCAAACCUCUCAUUGACAGAACUUCUAGACAUCGUUAAUAUUACAAAUAAUAAUGUUAAUAACUUCCUCGUCUCAAUUAUUGAUUUAAUAAUAUAUAAAAUAUCGACAAUAAUUGAAUCAAACUAAGUGACUUCUCAUUCACGUAAGCAUUAAUAAUCAAUACCGUGUGCUACUAUGCAACCACGCGUAUUUUACCACCAAUUAUUUUAUGACCACUUGCUUACUUUGAAAAAUGUUCAAAUGUCACCCUUAACUUUAAACUUUUAUCAAUUUAACUAUUUACCAAAAUAGAAAAAAAUUGAAUACUUUUAUUUCAUAAAAUUCGGGGUCUCACAAUCUCCCCUCCUUAUGAAAUUUCACCCUCGAAAUUUACGUACGUACCUGGUAUUCGAAGAGAUGAGAAUACCUUGCUUUCUUUUCGGAUUGUACCUUCCCGGUUAUUUUCUCUGUAUCAUGAUUUUCCCAUGGCUCAUUUCUUGUGUUUCAGAUAUCAUUCUAGAAUAUACUUCAAAACAAAGGUUAAUUGACAUAUCAUAAUUUGUCAACUUAUCAAGUAAACAAUUUCAGCUUAGGUAAGUCACACACUAGCAAAGUAUAUUACUCGUCUCUCCCCUCCUAGUUCUAGACUCAUAUCUCUGCUAGCGACUAUAUCCCUAAGCUCUGAUACCAAAUGUGACACCCCCAAAAAUAGGUAUACAUCACCCAUCUUGAGUCACUAGAAAAUACACUACUGACAACUUUAUUUAUACAACUGUCGUGCAAAAUACGAUGACAUAUAUACUAUGAGUUUCAAUACAAAUAUAUAUAACUCUCGUGGUGCCUCGACCACAACCUUACAAUGGUACCUUACAUAAAGGUACAAUCAGUAACUGUUUUAGAGAUUAAAAUCUUUAGAAAAUACUCAAGGAAACCUUCGUACAUGGGAAUCCAUGCGUCUAGGUUAUGAUAUAUAUCAUAUGUCCACAGAAUUAUCCUUGGUUGACCCAAUAGUCCCCAAAGAAAAACAAGAAGAUUGCUAUCAUCUUCUUUCCAAUGGUGAGUCUUUUCUUGACAUAUAACUAUCUCCGUUGUCUCCAAGUGAGAAUUAUAUUUUAAAUAAACUCCAAAAUCAUAUAGGUAGUGCUCGUAGAUAUACUCAGCAAGUGGAUGUGCACAACCCUGUUUUAUGAUAACAUGAGGUUGUAUGUCAUUAGACAUCUUGUAUGAUACUGAAAAAACACCCUUCCAAAGUUGGAUUCACCUCACCCUAUUCGCUUCACCAAAAUUAAAUAUAAAAUGACGUAUACAAUACGGCACACGUAUCUAAAAUUCUUAAUAAAAUUAUUUCCAUACUAUUUAGGGAGAACUUCAACAGCUAUAGACCACCGUUCUAUCCUCCUGUUACCCCCGCUCGACCCAGCUACACUCUUAUUACCUGAAAGGAAUUUUGAAGCAAAAGGGUGAGCACAACUAGCCCAGUAAAAAUAUCAUGACUAAAGAUAAUUUCCAUCAUCAAUAGCCGUUAUCAGUAAUAAAUCAGAGAUUUAGAACAUAUGGUAGAUGAUAAAACUUUUCAACCAUAGUUGCAGCGGAACGAGUAAUCCAUUAGAAGAGUCAAAUAGACCAUAAUGUUUAUUAUCUUCUCUAUGUUAAAAGUCCACCAACAAUGUUUUAUCCCUGUAACAUCAAUCAACAGUUCCUGUCCACAAUCAUAUGAAUAACUCAUAAUCAUAAUUGUGGUUUCCUUUUCUCAUCCAGGACGAAGAUAAUUUUCAUCACCUAUCUUUACCUGAAACAUCAAAAAUCAUGGUCAUACCAAAUCACAGUUCCUGUUUAUAAUCAUACUUAAUAAAUUCAUCUUUGCACUACGGGCCAAAGAUAUUCAUUAACAGUUCAUCUUUGCACUACAUGCCAAAGAUAUUCAACAACAGAUCAUCUUUGCACUACGGGCCAAAGAUAUUCAUUAACAGUUCAUCUUUGCACUACAUGCCAAAGAUAUUCAACAACAGAUCAUCUUUGCACUACAGGCCAAAGACAUAAAACUGUAUAACCAAUAACCAACAGUUCAUCUUUGCACUACAUGCCAAAGGUAUACAACUGUAAAACCAAUAAUGCUGAGACUCAGCUUAAUAGUUCACGACCACGAAUUAUCCAUGCACUACGGGCUAAGGAUAUUCGUGUUUUCAAUUACGGUCAUGAUUAUACCGAAUAAUUCCUGGUCAUAAUCAUACCAAGUCCAUCUAUGCACGUAAGCCACAGAUGACUUUCAACACAAUGUAAGCAUGAGGAUCAUGACAAUGAUAUAAAGAAUCAAUCAAAUGAGAUAAAAGAUAAAUAUUAAAUAUUUAUAAUAUAAUUUAUCCAGAGUUCAAGAAUAUCCCAAUGUUAUCAAUCACUUAAUAAUCUCAUAAUCUAAUAUCAUUAAUAUUAUAACAAUAUUUUAAUCACUUCUUAAACUUAUAAAUAAUUUAUUUUAAUUGUUUACACUUUACCAAAUAAUGUAUUUAAUCAUUCAAAAAUGCCAUACUCAUAAGAUUUCAUCACCAAUGAUCAAAUCCCUUAUCAAAAAUCUGCAUAUACCCUAUAUAGGAUUCCCAAGCCAUAAAAUCCUAUUUACCAAUUUUGUUACUUCACAUAACAUAUUUAAUUCAUUUACUAAUAGCUAGUUCAGUUUCAUGAAAAAUACCAAAUCAGUCCCAAAAAUAUUUCUUUUCUGAGAUUUAACAGGAUAUAGUCCCAAAUUGAACAUAUAUUUUUCUCAGAAUUUUUUAAAAUUCAUUUACUAUUUUUCAAAAAUAAAUUUCUAAUUAAUUCCUUAAGAAAUUAGCUACCUCAAGUUUAACUCCAGAAAUUCCCAAAUCUUGGCAGGAUCUUACACAUGUUAACGUGAGCUUCCAGUUUAAAUUUCAUGGUCAUCGGAGUUAUAGAACUCCGGUUAUAGUAUUUUUUGUCGGAAAAAUCUAAAUAUUUAAAAAGUCAUAACUUGCUCAUUUUAAGUCGGAAUGAGCUCAUUUUUGGACAGUAGGUACUUUAUACCAUAUAUUUUCAUGUCCCAAAAGGCUGGAAUAUUUCUCACAAACUAAGUGGCCGAAAAUGCCCUUUUAAAUUUAUGGACAGUAGCUUUUUAGUACAUUUUAGUUUUUGACUCCUUUGCUAAAAUCAGUCCACACGAAAAUCUACAACACCUUUUCCAGUGAUUCCACUUGGAUAACUUAGAAAACUCAUAGAUCUAACUCUAGAACUUGACCACACUCAAAAAUUCAAAAUAUAAUAGGGGAUAUGGUCAAUUGAAUUUCAUGUUCCAUUUUCACCAAAAUCUGAUUUUCAACCCUUUGUGAUUUCUAAGAAACUUUCAUGUUUUCACAUAAUAACCAACAUAACUCAUCAUAACACUUACUAAUACUACAUAUACCCAUGAUUUUCAUUAGUCCAAUGCUUUUAUUAUGACUUUCAUCAUAAUCAACAGUCCAAUGCUUAUAUUAUGACUUUCCAGAAUUUUUGAGGGUUAGAAAAGUUACGAAACUGCAAAUGGAUUUUCACCCGCCAUGCGGUAAUCCACGUAGACAGAUCAUUUCCAUAAUUUAAUAAGGAAUAAAAUACAAAGGAUUAUUCACCAUGCAUGUGGUAAUCCAAUAGACAGGUUAUUCCAACAGAAUAAUAAAGAAUGGAAUAACAGAAGGAUUCACUAUGCAUGCGAUAGAUCGCACAGACAGGUUAUUCCCAACAGAAUAAUAAAUAAUGGAACUAGGUCAUGCAUAAACGCACAGACAGGAUAUUCUGACAGAAUAAUAAAGAAUGGAACCAGGUCAUGCGUAAACGCACAGACAUGAUAUUCCAACUGAAUAAUAAAGAAUAGAAUAAUAGAAGAAUUUCACCGUGUAUGCGGCACUUCGCAUAUACAGGUUAUUCCAACAUAAUAAUAAAGAAUGGAAUAACAGAAGAAUUUCACCAUGUAUGUGGUACUUCGCAUAUACAGGUUAUUCCAACAGAAUAAUAAGGAAUGGAAUAACAGAAGAAUUUCACCAAGUAUAGGGUAGUCCACGUAUACAUGUUAUUUCAACAAAAUAAUAAAGAAUGGAGUAACAGAAGUUCUCUUCAUGAAUACGAAAGAAAUAAUACCCCUUACGAGUACAACAAAUAAUAUCCCUUACCUUAGAAGAAAC
Molecule: long non-coding RNA, 6151 nt
Filed under: Panax ginseng (ginseng)
Lineage: Eukaryota; Viridiplantae; Streptophyta; Magnoliopsida; Apiales; Araliaceae
Description: long non-coding RNA (PGIN_LNC008920)
Source: RNAcentral